Molecule: ribosomal RNA, 756 nt
Filed under: uncultured fungus
Lineage: Eukaryota; Fungi
Description: eukaryotic LSU rRNA
Rfam family: Eukaryotic small subunit ribosomal RNA (bases 1-241)
Source: RNAcentral
UUGCUCUUCAACGAGGAAUCCCUAGUAAGCGCAAGUCAUCAGCUUGCGUUGAUUACGUCCCUGCCCUUUGUACACACCGCCCGUCGCUACUACCGAUUGAAUGGCUCAGUGAGGCGUCCGGACUGGCCCAGAGUGGUGGGCAACUACCGCUCAGGGCCGGAAAGCUCUCCAAACUCGGUCAUUUAGAGGAAGUAAAAGUCGUAACAAGGUCUCCGUUGGUGAACCAGCGGAGGGAUCAUUACCGAGUUUACAACUCCCAAACCCCUGUGAACAUACCUUAUGUUGCCUCGGCGGAUCAGCCCGCGCCCCGUAAAAAGGGACGGCCCGCCGCAGGAACCCUAAACUCUGUUUUUAGUGGAACUUCUGAGUAUAAAAAACAAAUAAAUCAAAACUUUCAACAACGGAUCUCUUGGUUCUGGCAUCGAUGAAGAACGCAGCAAAAUGCGAUAAGUAAUGUGAAUUGCAGAAUUCAGUGAAUCAUCGAAUCUUUGAACGCACAUUGCGCCCGCCAGUAUUCUGGCGGGCAUGCCUGUUCGAGCGUCAUUUCAACCCUCAAGCCCAGCUUGGUGUUGGGAGCUGCAGUCCUGCUGCACUCCCCAAAUACAUUGGCGGUCACGUCGAGCUUCCAUAGCGUAGUAAUUUACACAUCGUUACUGGUAAUCGUCGCGGCCACGCCGUUAAACCCCAACUUCUGAAUGUUGACCUCGGAUCAGGUAGGAAUACCCGCUGAACUUAAGCAUAUCAAUAAGCGGAGGA